GUUCGAUAGUGCAGUGGUUAACACUCCGGGUAUAAUCGCAAGGUCGUGGGUUUGAAUCCCACCGGGGAACA
Molecule: non-coding RNA, 71 nt
Organism: Gigaspora rosea
Lineage: Eukaryota; Fungi; Glomeromycota; Glomeromycetes; Diversisporales; Gigasporaceae
Source: the annotation of a GenBank genome assembly